This 440-nucleotide ribosomal RNA is filed under the name uncultured bacterium. Its description in RNAcentral is "partial 16S ribosomal RNA". It matches the Rfam family "Bacterial small subunit ribosomal RNA", at positions 338 to 795 of the family's 1533-position model. The record is from RNAcentral.
CCUACGGGAGGCAGCAGUGGGGGAUAUUGCACAAUGGGGGGAACCCUGAUGCAGCGACGCCGCGUGGGUGAAGAAGCGCCUCGGCGCGUAAAGCCCUGUCAGCAGGGAAGAAAAUGACGGUACCUGAAGAAGAAGCCCCGGCUAACUACGUGCCAGCAGCCGCGGUAAUACGUAGGGGGCAAGCGUUAUCGGGAUUUACUGGGUGGAAAGGGGGCGCAGACGGCGAUGCAAGCCAGGAGUGAAAGCCCGGGGCCCAACCCCGGGACUGCUCUUGGAACUGCGUGGCUGGAGUGCAGGAGGGGCAGGCGGAAUUCCUGGUGUAGCGGUGAAAUGCGUAGAUAUCAGGAGGAACACCGGUGGCGAAGGCGGCCUGCUGGACUGCAACUGACGUUGAGGCCCGAAAGCGUGGGGAGCAAACAGGAUUAGAUACCCUAGUAGUC